GUUCGAUUCUGGCUCAGAUUGAACGUAGUGGAAAGAGUCACGACAUUUACAAAGCAGAGAUCGGGCGACGGCGCGGGCAGCCUUCGGUCUGGUGGCGAGUAGCGAACGGGUGAGUAAUGUAUCGGAACAUUUGCUCAUGGCAGGGGGAUAACUACGGCCUUAGCUAAUACCACAUACGCCCUUCGAAGGGGAAAGCAGGGGACCUUCGGGCCUCGCACUAUUAGAGCGACCGAUAUCGGAUUAGCUAGUUGGUGAGGUAACGGCUCACCAAGGCGACGAUCCGUAGCUGGUUUGAGAAGGACGACCAACCACACUGGGACUGAAGACUGGCCCAGACUCUGCAGGAGGCAGCAGUGAAAUUUUGGACAAUGGGGAAGCCACAGUCCAGCCAUCCGCGUGUGCGAUGAAGGCCUUCAGUUGUUGUAAAGCACUUUUGGCAGGGAAAGAAACGGCACGGGAUAAUACCCCGUGCAACUGACAAUGCCUGCAGAAUAAGCACCGGCUAACUACGUGCCCAGCAGCCGCGGUAUCUGCAGCCAAGGUGCAAGCGUUAAUCGGAAUUACUGGGCGUAAAGCGUGCGCAGGCGGUUCGGAAAGAAAGAUGUGAAAUCCAGAGCUUAACUUUGGAACUGCAUUUUAACUACCGAGCUGCUAGAGUGUGUGUCAGAGGAGGUGGAAUUCCGCGUGUAGCAGUGAAAUGCGUGAAUGCGGAGGAACACCGAUGGCGAAGGCAGCCUCCUGGGAUGCUUACUGACGCUCAUGCACGAAAGCGUGGGAGCCAAACAAGUUAGAUACCCUGGUAGUCCCGCCCUAAACGAUGUCAACUAGCUGUUGGGGCUGCUUCGGGCGCUUGGUAGCGCAGCUAACGCGUGAAGUUGACCGCCUGAAAUACAGUCGCAAGAUUAAAACUCAAAAUUGACAGGGACCCGCACAAGCGGUGGAUGAUGUGGAUUAAUUCGGGUGCGGCGUGAAAAACCUUACCUACCCUUGACAUGUCUGGAAUCCCGAAGAGAUUUGGGAGUGCUCGCAAGAGAACCGGAACACAGGUGCUGCAUGGCUGUCGUCAGCUCGUGUCGUGAGAUGUUGGGUUAAGUCCCGCAACAGGCGCAACCCUUGUCAUUAGUUGCUACGAAAGGGUACUCUAAUGCAGGACUGCCGGUGACAAACCGGAGGAAGGUGGGGAUGACGUCAAGUCCUCAUGGCCCUUAUGAGUGAACUUCACGAUCUUCUGAUGGCGAAGGUUCGGAUGAAGGGAUCAUCGAAGCUCAGGAGGGCACAAUCGCAAGAACUUCAAAAUCAAUGAUCCGGAUCUGUGAGUCACCGUCGAGCUACGUGAAGUCGAAUCUUUGGGCAUUCGGCGAAUCAACGUAUCACUGGUAUUUUUGUCUGGAUGUAGCCGCCGUUACACCAUGGGAGUGGGUUUUGCCGGAAAUGAUUUAGCCUAGCAGGGCGAUUACCACGGUAAGUUCAUGACUGGGAUGAAGUACGUAACAAGGUAACUCUGUUGCGCUGGUUCGUGCGG
Molecule: ribosomal RNA, 1522 nt
Filed under: uncultured Bordetella sp.
Lineage: Bacteria; Pseudomonadati; Pseudomonadota; Betaproteobacteria; Burkholderiales; Alcaligenaceae
Description: partial 16S-23S ribosomal RNA intergenic spacer
Rfam family: Bacterial small subunit ribosomal RNA
Source: RNAcentral